AGUGGAGCCUGCGGCUUAAUUUGACUCAACACGGGAAACCUCACCAGGCCCGGACACCGGAAGGAUUGACAGAUUGAGAGCUCUUUCUUGAUUCGGUGGGUGGUGGUGCAUGGCCGUUCUUAGUUGGUGGAGCGAUUUGUCUGGUUAAUUCCGAUAACGAACGAGACUCUAGCCUGCUAACUAGGCGUAUUUCGACAUCCCAAAGGCCCGCCGGUUCGGGGUUUCCACUUCGUUCCGCGCGCGGUUUUUACUGUCGGCGUACAAACAAUUCUUCUUAGAGGGACAGGCGGCUCUUAGCCGCACGAGAUUGAGCAAUAACAGGUCUGUGAUGCCCUUAGAUGUUCUGGGCCG
RNAcentral lists this ribosomal RNA (351 nucleotides) under Rhytidodera bowringii. Its description in RNAcentral is "SSU rRNA". It matches the Rfam family "Eukaryotic small subunit ribosomal RNA", at positions 1175 to 1489 of the family's 1831-position model. Lineage: Eukaryota; Metazoa; Arthropoda; Insecta; Coleoptera; Cerambycidae. The record is from RNAcentral. RNAcentral also lists the same sequence under 1 other name.